CGGGGCUGGGCUGGGCUGGGCUGGGGCGGGCGGGCGAGCACCUGCGGCUGCCG
RNAcentral lists this microRNA precursor (53 nucleotides) under Choloepus hoffmanni (Hoffmann's two-fingered sloth). RNAcentral describes it as "miRNA (ENSCHOG00000014270.1)". Lineage: Eukaryota; Metazoa; Chordata; Mammalia; Pilosa; Megalonychidae. The record is from RNAcentral.